CUAUAUUUUCAGCUUGAAGCUACUUCUAGCCAUAAAUUCAAGAACAUUAAGUCACCAGCUUCCGUGACAGCCCUGAGCCACCACUGAACUUCUCCAGCCACUUCACGUGAUGCUGCAGUCAGUACCUGGCAGCUUGGAGAACUAUUGCAAGGCAAGAUGAAGAGCCAGAGUUACCUGUCAAAAGAAUCCUAGAGAAUAAUUUAGCAUGGAAAAUGGAAAGAGGGAUGAUUCUGAAACUCAGGAAAAGAUAGAGACACGCAUAAGGUAAAUCUUAAGUUAUGUUGGAAUAUUUGCUCAGAUUUUAG
Molecule: long non-coding RNA, 305 nt
Filed under: Dromaius novaehollandiae (emu)
Lineage: Eukaryota; Metazoa; Chordata; Aves; Casuariiformes; Dromaiidae
Description: lncRNA (ENSDNVG00000015162.1)
Source: RNAcentral